This 219-nucleotide long non-coding RNA is filed under the name Homo sapiens (human). Its description in RNAcentral is "HSALNT0108837". The record is from RNAcentral. Lineage: Eukaryota; Metazoa; Chordata; Mammalia; Primates; Hominidae.
UCCAGUUCACUUUUCUCUCAUUUUGCUUUAGAAACAUGCUGCCUGCCUGGAGGGAUUUAAAGCUGUUCAUCUAAGCACUCUUUUGCUGUCACCAAUGGCAUCUUUGGCACAUAUAUGCAGGAAUAGUGGAUACCUGAAAGGCAUUUGGGAAUGUGAACUCAGAGACUGUGAAAGGCAAAAACAAGGUAAAACUCUGGCUGUGCUUCAGAUGUUUCUGUG